AGUACAAGAAACAAUGUGUAAGGAGUAUGAUCUUUCCACAAUCAUUGUCCAUCAUCCACUUGGGGAUGUUAAAAGCUUCCAAAGAAGAUGCCAUAACCAAACCAAAAAUAUGGACACUAACUUCCUCCAAUUUGAGGAUAUGCAACUUUUGCACCAAUGCUUGGGGAUUCAAAUUCCUUCCACAAAUCCAAAAAAAAAAUGCAUCUGAGAG
RNAcentral lists this unclassified non-coding RNA (211 nucleotides) under Hevea brasiliensis (rubber tree). The record is from RNAcentral. Lineage: Eukaryota; Viridiplantae; Streptophyta; Magnoliopsida; Malpighiales; Euphorbiaceae.